Molecule: ribosomal RNA, 160 nt
Filed under: uncultured Weissella sp.
Lineage: Bacteria; Bacillati; Bacillota; Bacilli; Lactobacillales; Lactobacillaceae
Description: partial 16S ribosomal RNA
Rfam family: Bacterial small subunit ribosomal RNA
Source: RNAcentral
UAGGGAAUCUUCCACAAUGGACGAAAGUCUGAUGGAGCAACGCCGCGUGUGUGAUGAAGGGUUUCGGCUCGUAAAACACUGUUGUAAGAGAAGAAUAGCAUUGAGAGUAACUGCUCAGUGUCUGACGGUAUCUUACCAGAAAGGAACGGCUAAAUACGUG